RNAcentral lists this ribosomal RNA (253 nucleotides) under uncultured bacterium. Its description in RNAcentral is "partial 16S ribosomal RNA". It matches the Rfam family "Bacterial small subunit ribosomal RNA", at positions 524 to 776 of the family's 1533-position model. The record is from RNAcentral.
UACGUAGGGUGUGAGCGUUGUCCGGAAUUAUUGGGCGUAAAGGGCUCGUAGGCGGCCAACUAAGUCAGACGUGAAAUCCCUCGGCUUAACCGGGGAACUGCGUCUGAUACUGGAUGGCUUGAGUUUGGGAGAGGGAUGCGGAAUUCCAGGUGUAGCGGUGAAAUGCGUAGAUAUCUGGAGGAACACCGGUGGCGAAGGCGGCAUCCUGGACCAACACUGACGCUGAGGAGCGAAAGCCAGGGGAGCAAACGGG